GGAGGGAGGGAGGAAGGUGUUCAUCAAAGCCCCAUAGGACGGAUCGAAUCAUAUUUACAACGCCUUCCACAAUUUUCUUUUAACCUACUUCGGGUGCCAAGAAAAAGAGAAGAACGUAGAUCUUAGCAGAGGGUUCGCGUUUCGUUGGCUCGAGAAGUUGCUCGUUACAGCUAAAUGAAACGAUGGCUUGGCAUUGUUCAGUGGCUCGUUUCAGGGAGCGCAAGCUCGACGAGAAGAUUUAUGUCGGCGAAGAAAACUUGCGCCGAUAAAGUGUUCCCGUGCUCACGGCGAACGCUUAUCGUCUCGUUAUUCCGGAUUUCGCGGCGAAAGUUUCUAGGCAAGUGAAAGGGAACCGUUUUCAUUCAUAAAACGUAACGUUUCUUUCUUUCCCUCCCCACCGAUUGAGCGCAUCUGUUUUCAUCGAUUUUUAUCCAACGCUUAAUUU
Long non-coding RNA from Apis florea (little honeybee), 445 nucleotides. The record is from RefSeq and is a predicted model, not a curated record. Lineage: Eukaryota; Metazoa; Arthropoda; Insecta; Hymenoptera; Apidae.